UAAAUUGGAAGCCACUUAAAGGUCAUCCCAGUACCUUUUCCCUUGUGCUUUCCUCAGGGUUAGCGAGCACACGGUUUUCUCAGAAGACCGAAUUUCCUCCCUCAGUGGUGCGGAGUCUGGAGAUGCAAGGGGAAGCUUGCUUGGACAGCCCUCAGCCGAAGAGAGCUGGCAGCCCAGGGAGGAGCUGUGGGAAACCAGUGACUGCGGAGUGUCCCCGCCGCCGCCGCUGCUGGUCAGACUCUCCCCCGCGCCCGCAUGUGUGUGGCAGACACUGGUGUGCAGUCCACACAACAUUCUCAGAGCAGGUGUCUCUCACCCCCUUAGCGGGUGAGGAGACGGGCUCGCUGAGGCCGAACGGUCCGUCCCAUCCGGCACCAGCCCGGAAGCCUCGAGUUGCCCCCGCGUGCCUGGCUCUCGGCUCGAGCUCGGAAUCAGCUGAGUGGUUUCCCUCCCCACUGGUGCUGGAGAAGGCAGAGGAGCAGCUGGCUUCUCCGGGCGGGGAAGUCUUUUCGAAGAGGAUACAGGAGAAGGUGUCGGGUAUUUUGUCCCAGGGAUGAAAGCAGUGACUGAGCUAUGCUCUGUGCUUUCCUGUCUACACAAGCAGAACUAGAUCAGCAGAGCCCUCGGUCCCCAUCUCCCUCACUGUGUGAUGAUGGCAGCAGCAACUGCCACAAAGCUUGGCACCGAGAAGAUGACAGCAGAGGUGCACCGUUGUGUCACACGCAGGUCAGGUAUGGCACAGCCUUUCAGAAGGUGUGUCCACGCGGAAUAGCAACUCCACGCCCACCACCACGCAUGGCAUGGCGGGAGACACCUCAGCUCCAGAGACCCGAAUUUCUUCAUGCCCCAGGGCUGUCACUGUACAGUCUAAGAGCUCAAGAACGGGGCACUGCUCAUUCUGCAGCACCUGUGGACACAGUGGUGAAGAGGUUGCUUUAAUGCAUCUGAUUUCCCAGGACUAACUUAAACGUCUCCUGCGUUAGGUUUCCUUUGGAUCACUGGGCAAGCAGCUUCCCUGUUUCUCAAGUCUGCCUGUGCUUUUGUUAGCUCUCGGAAUAUGUUCCAUUAUAGACGGCAACUAUCUGCAGGUUCUUUCUUGCUUCACAAGGAGAGGAAAAUUGUUAACAAGAACAAAACAUCAAAUUUGAAAAAUAAUGGAAAACGUGAUUGGUUUUAUGCUGAGUGUAGUAUCUAGCACGGAGAAGCACAAGACCUGUGGUGAUGAACGAUGAUGUGCAUAACACCUGCGAACUGGAAACGCGGAUCGCUAGCUGCUUGCUCCCUGACGCGGGAGCUGCCACGCAGGGCAGUCACGCGGUGGGGCGGGGCCCUGGGUGGCUGCAGUGACGGCUACCCCGGUUGAGGUGCCAAGUGGGUUUAUCGGUUGAUGCCUGUGGAAGCCGUCGGUGAGAAGACACAGC
Molecule: long non-coding RNA, 1421 nt
Filed under: Fukomys damarensis (Damara mole-rat)
Lineage: Eukaryota; Metazoa; Chordata; Mammalia; Rodentia; Bathyergidae
Description: lncRNA (ENSFDAG00000030220.1)
Source: RNAcentral